AUUGAACGCUGGCGGCAGGCCUAACACAUGCAAGUCGAGCGGAUGAAGGGAGCUUGCUCCUGGAUUCAGCGGCGGACGGGUGAGUAAUGCCUAGGAAUCUGCGUGGUAGUGGGGGAUAACGUCCGGAAACGGGCGCUAAUACCGCAUACGUCCUGAGGGAGAAAGUGGGGGAUCUUCGGACCUCACGCUAUCAGAUGAGCCUAGGUCGGAUUAGCUAGUUGGUGGGGUAAAGGCCUACCAAGGCGACAAUCCGUAACUGGUCUGAGAGGAUGAUCAGUCACACUGGAACUGAGACACGGUCCAGACUCCUACGGGAGGCAGCAGUGGGGAAUAUUGGACAAUGGGCGAAAGCCUGAUCCAGCCAUGCCGCGUGUGUGAAGAAGGUCUUCGGAUUGUAAAGCACUUUAAGUUGGGAGGAAGGGCAGUAAGUUAAUACCUUGCUGUUUUGACGUUACCAACAGAAUAAGCACCGGCUAACUUCGUG
This 484-nucleotide ribosomal RNA is filed under the name uncultured bacterium. RNAcentral's name for it is "partial 16S ribosomal RNA". It matches the Rfam family "Bacterial small subunit ribosomal RNA", at positions 30 to 507 of the family's 1533-position model. The record is from RNAcentral.